GCAACAACCUUCUCUUCAUUCUGGCAUUUUCGAGGUAUUGAAAAAGAUCAGCUUUUGUAUUGUUGAUCCUUCCAGAAAAGAAGGAAGCAACUCUUGAUGUUAAUUUAAUUAUGCAGUCUGUGGUGCAGGCAGAGUUAGAGCAAUAGAAGGGGAAAAUGGGAGCAGUUUUCAUCAUUUUAGCGUGAUCUUGUAAAAUGAUAGUGCUAGCCACCCUAAGAUUAGAGAUUUUCUCUGGACCACGCUCUUUUUAGGCAACGCUCUGCUAUAAACUGCAUGGUAUGUACCCGUCCAGAUCAGUGUGAUUUAUAAAUCAACCAAAUAUUUGGACAAAAGGUACAAUUGACAUCAAAUCCAGGAACGAGUUUCUGUAACAAAUAGCAAAAUUCAAAUUCUUUUAAUUCAGCAACACAUUUUUGAUUACAAGGAUGAUGGCAUAGCAUUGAAUAUAUAUAAUGAAAUAGCAAAAUUUAUAAUGAUAAAUGACUUUUUAUAAUGAUAAUAUAAUAAUAUAAUAAUAUAUCUCGCCAAAUCUCCGUUUCGGAGCAGUUACUUUACCACAAACACAGAAUUGCCAGGAAAGACGUCAUGUGCAGUAUAGUACCACAGGCUAAUUUUCACUUAAGUUUGAAAAAGUUCAACCAAUCUUUCGAUUUCUAUCAGACCUUUUGCUUUGCUUUUAAAAAUUUGUUCCAUUCCUGGAAGGUGUCUUUUGAACUUUUCGCAUUGCCAUAAAUGUUCUAAGUUUUCUUUAUGUAAUCUACACCUUCUGCAACUUAUAUUAUCAUACUUUCCUUUGUAAUUAGCUUUUAAAUAGGUCAUGUUUAGUUUAAAUUUUAGUAACGUUGGUCCAUUUUUAUGUUUUAUAUAUUCUUCCAAAUCCAAAACUUCCUUUCUUAAUGAACCUUAUCUUUGUUUUAUCGCUAUUCUUAACGCGCUGGACGCUGAGAGAACCGAAACAGUUUUCGAGCUCAGCGCCGUGUUAUCGACAAACAAGAAAGAUUUUACAAGCAUUAAAAACUUUAGUAAUAAGAAAUCAAUAUUGAUAUUAGCAAAGCAUUAAUGGUAGCAAAAAGAGGAAAAGGAAAAAGUAGAAAAAACUUGAAGAAAAAAACAUAUUGAUAUGUAAAGAAAAAGAAAUAUUGAAGAAGGGAAAACACGGAACUAUCUAAGGGCUUUGAUAUGUAAUUGCCUAACAUGCCCAGCCUCAGAAAAAAUUGGUCGAAAAUAAUGUGUCUUUAAAAAUUUACUCUCGUGUUAAUAGAAUAGUACGCCAAGAAUAAACAACAAUAAAUACACGUAAAUCAGCGAAGGCUAAUAUUUCGCCCCGGCAUACGGGGCUUCAUCAGAGCAAAAGUUUAUGGGCUAAAAAUGUACACAUUUAAAAGAGGCGAUGGUGGUGUCGGAUUGGCUUAUGUGGAAUGGUGUGAAUGCAGCGCAGUGGUGGAGGAGGGAAGGGUGGCGAAUGAGAGAGGGUGGAUGGUGGUGGUGGAAUGAAAAUGUAAUGGGGAUGAAGUGUGGAUGGUGCUUGAGCCCCCCCAAUAAUUGUCAAGCUGUAGUAUAUUUCCUUUACAACAGUGUACUGAAUGAGAAGGAAAACAAUGGGCAGCCCCCCCCCUCCCCCCAAUAUGAAUUUCGUUCCGAUGACACUGAAUAUGUUGAUGGUUUGUUUGAGGAUGGUAGAUAGCUGUGGCAAAGAAGGGGGAUAGGUGACAACAAAUGGUGUUCUGUGAUUAUUACGUUGUUUUGUGGUUUUCAGGCAGUCCUUCGUAUUUGUUUGCGUGUCUGUUUUGUUUUGUAACCUCGUUUUGUCAAGUAUUGUAGUAGUUGUCUUGUUCGGAAUUUGUAGGUUUCAUCUUCCGAGCAUAUACGUCGUAGUCGUAGGGCAAGAAAACGCAAGUACCAAAGUCUAAAAGUAGCUUUUUGUAAUGUUUUAAAGUUAGAGUUGCAUCUUGUUCUAUUCAGCACGUCAAAUUAUGCCAGGAAACAAUGUUUUAGUAUUUUUUACUCAGUUUUGCAAGAUCUUUCUGAUGAAAUCAUCAGAUUUGAAAAAUUCGAAGGUAAAAAUUUUGCUGACCGUGCAUUUUUCACGCUUUCUUAAACAUUGCUUCCGGUCAUAUGACGGAAUGUACCUAAGACUCAAAAUGAUCAGUGGCCUUUACUUUCAUAACUUAAACUCUAAAAACUUUGUUUAGGCAGUUUGCUAGAUGGUUAUGCGAAAUUCCCUGUAUAUUAUGCAGGGUUAUAAACGAAAUUCUGGACUUGUCGUCACAUUUAGCUUAGCCGUGCUCGUCCAAAAAACUCUUAAAUUAAUCCCUGUUUUAGAACAUGGAAAAUAACUCAUCUGUUUGAAGAUGAUAACGUGGGCCAAGAGAAGUAUUUGUGUUCUUUCUUAGGGUAUUGAAGUAUUUGGAGCUGCUGCAACUAAAAGCAAACCUGAGAGUAGAUGUUCACACGAUAAAACUAAAACUGAAACAAAAUCACAUAUAGCUUCUUGCUAGUCAUGCCAAAAAGUUGUAAUUGUCUCUUUAAAGUUUGGCUCAUCAUUCUAUAUCACCCAAGUUUUGGGAUAGCCUCUUGCAAAAAACCUCCAACAAUAUUUUAUCAAAAGUCCAAUGCAUUUAAAAACACCUGACAUUAUUGUAUAAAUGUUGUUUAAAUAUAAAGAGUUCUUUGGAUUUUCUUUGGAAUAAUGCUGCUUGUCCCUGUACAAGCCAUGGCCACUAAACUUUUAUUUUCUAUCUUUUACAUUGUAUUAUUUUAGUAUAAGGUCCUACCUAUCGCUCUAACUCAAGUCGGUAAUGACUUCUACAAAAAAGAUGCAUGAAAUGCAAACCUUUGCUUGCUCAGUUCAGUCUACGCCUUUAUUUCAUUUAUUAAAAUAGUUAUGCUUUUGGACAUUCGUUUAUGAAGCUGUAAGUGAACUCAUUGCCUGAGGAGGAGGCUAUCCCAGCAACCACUGCAAAAAAGGAGGAUGCUAUGAAAAAAUGGCGACAUGUUCGGAAAUUUAUCAUAUAUAUAUACACGUGUAAUGUAAGAAGUAAUGGAAAAGACGGUGUUGCAGAGAUUACCCGCGCACGUGCAUUUGGUAGAAAACUGAGAAAAAGACCACCGCCAGUCGUUUGAAGGGCAUUUAAAAACAGACAUCACAACAGUGUUGCCAGAAAGUGAUCCAGAUUCCAAUCUACACGACAGUACCAAUCUAAGCCAUGAAAUUUUAGAAGAUUCAGAAACUUGUUUCUUAAGAGAAAAAUGACUUCUGCAAGUGAAAAAUUGCUUUAUUCUAUAAGAAUGAUAAUUAUCAUGGAGUGUUCCUUGACUGCUGUCAAAGAGGUUGUUGCCCUUCAGUCUCUCACGGAUCGAUCGAAAAAGCAAUUGAAUUGUAUAGCAGGUGAACAGAGUAUGAAAAAUAACUUACUCUGGCAUGUUCCUUCUGUUGGUCUUUUAUUUCAACUGAUUUAAGAAUGGAUGUGGAUUGGUGUUCUUGAUGUUUCUGUUUCUACGAAGACAUUACAACAGUGUUUCCAGAAAGUGAUCAAGAUUCGAUUCUACAUGACACAACCAAUCGAGACCAUGAAAUUUUAGAAGAUUCAGAAAUUUGUUUCCUCAGAGAAAAAUGACUUUCUGCAAGUGAAAAAUUGAUCGAUUCUGUAAGAAUGAUAACUCUCUGGAGGAUUCCUCGACUGCUGCCAUCAUAGAGGUUGUUGCCCCUUAGCUCUUGAAGUAGAGACUGAAAAUCACUGUGCUGCAUGGAUGUCGAGAAGAGCAUUGGAAAUAGCUGACAGUGGCAUGUUCCUUCUAUUAGACUCUCAUUUCAACUGAUUUAAAAAUGGAUGUGGAUUGGUGAUCUUCUUCUUUCUGUUUCUACGAGGACCUGACAACAGUGUUGCCAGAAUGUGAUCCAGAUACCAAUCUACAUGACACUUCCAAUCGAAACCAUGAUAUUUUAGAAGAUUCAGAAAUUUGUUUCUUCAGAGGAAAAUGACUUUCUGCAAGUGAAAAAUUGCUCGAUUCUGUAAGAAUGAUAAUUUCCUGGAGGAUUCCUCGAAUGCUGUCAUCAUAGAGGUUGUUGCCCCUUAGCUAUUCAAGUAGAGACUAAAAAACCCACUGUGUUGCAUCGAUGUCGAAAAGAGUAUGGGAAAAAGCUGACAGUGGCAUGUUCCUUCUGUUGGGCUUUCAUUUCAACUGAUUUAAGAAUAGAUGUGGAUUGGUGUUCUUGAUGUUUCUGUUUCUACGAAGACCCCACAACAGUGUUGCCAGAAAGUGAUCCAGAUUCGAUUCUACAUGACACAACCAAUCGAGACGAUGAAAUUUUAGAAGAUUCAGAAAUUUGUUUCUUCAGAGGAAAAUGACUUUCUGCAAGUGAAAAUUUUUUCGAUUUUGUGAGAAUGAUAAUUUUCCUCAAGGUUUCCUCGAGUGCUGUCUUCAGAGAGGUUGUUGCCCCUUAGCUCUUCAAGUAGAGACUGAAAAACGCACUAUAUUGCAUCGAUGUCGAAAAGAGUAUGGGAAAAAGCUGACAGUGGCAUGUUCCUUCUGUUGGGCUUUCAUUUCAACUGAUUUAAGAAUGGAUGUGGAUUGGUGUUCUUGAUGUUUCUGUUUCUACGAAGACCCCACAACAGUGUUGCCAGAAAGUGAUCCAGAUUCGAUUCUACAUGACACAACCAAUCGAGACGAUGAAAUUUUAGAAGAUUCAGAAAUUUGUUUCUUCAGAGGAAAAUGACUUUCUGCAAGUGAAAAUUUUUUCGAUUUUGUGAGAAUGAUAAUUUUCCUCAAGGUUUCCUCGAGGGCUGUCUUCAGAGAGGUUGUUGCCCCUUAGCUCUUCAAGUAGAGACUGAAAAUCACUGUGCUGCAUCGAUGUCGAAAAGAGUAUUGGAAAAAGCUGACAGUGGCAUGUUCCUUCUGUUGGACUUUCAUUUCAACUGAUUUAAGAAUGGAUGUGGAUUGGUAGUCUUCUUGUUUCUGUUUCUACGAAGACCCCACAACAGUGUUGCCAGAAAGUGAUCCAGAUUCGAUUCUACAUGACACAACCAAUCGAGACGAUGAAAUUUUAGAAGAUUCAGAAAUUUGUUUCUUCAGAGGAAAAUGACUUUCUGCAAGUGAAAAUUUUUUCGAUUUUGUGAGAAUGAUAAUUUUCCUCAAGGUUUCCUCGAGGGCUGUCUUCAGAGAGGUUGUUGCCCCUUAGCUCUUCAAGUAGAGACUGAAAAACGCACUAUAUUGCAUCGAUGUCGAAAAGAGUAUGGGAAAAAGCUGACAGUGGCAUGUUCCUUCUGUUGGGCUUUCAUUUCAACUGAUUUAAGAAUGGAUGUGGAUUGGUGUUCUUGAUGUUUCUGUUUCUACGAAGACCUUACAACAGUGUUUCCAGAAAGUGAUCGAGAUUUGAUUCUACAUGACACAACCAAUCGAGACCAUGAAAUUUUAGAAGGUUCAGAAAUUUGUUUCCUCAGAGGAAAAUGACUUUCUGCAAGUGAAAAAUUGCUUUAUUCUAUAAGAAUGAUAAUUAUCAUGGAGUGUUCCUUGACUGCUGUCAAAGAGGUUGUUGCCCUUCAGUCUCUCACGGAUCGAUCGAAAAAGCAAUUGAAUUGUAUAGCAGGUGAACAGAGUAUGAAAAAUAACUUACUCUGGCAUGUUCCUUCUGUUGGUCUUUUAUUUCAACUGAUUUAAGAAUGGAUGUGGAUUGGUGUUCUUGAUGUUUCUGUUUCUACGAAGACCUUACAACAGUGUUUCCAGAAAGUGAUCGAGAUUUGAUUCUACAUGACACAACCAAUCGAGACCAUGAAAUUUUAGAAGGUUCAGAAAUUUGUUUCCUCAGAGGAAAAUGACUUUCUGCAAGUGAAAAAUUGCUCGAUUUUGUGAGAAUGAUAAUUUUCCUGAAGGUUUCCUCGACUGCUGCCAUCAAAGAGAGUGUUGUCCUGGAUUGGUGGUUAUUUCAGACGCCACAACAGUAUUGCCAGAAAGUGAUCCAGAUUCAAGUCUACAUGACACUAUCAAUCGAAACCAUGAUAUUUUAGAAGAUUCAGAAAUUUGUAUCUUGAGAGGAAAAUUACUUUCUGCAAGUGAAAAAUUGAUCGAUUCUGUAAGAAUGAUAACUCUCUGGAGGAUUCCUCGACUGCUGCCAUCAUAGAGGUUGUUGCCCCUUAGCUCUUCAAGUAGAGACUGAAAAUCACUGUGCUGCAUGGAUGUCGAGAAGAGUAUUGGAAAUAGCUGACAGUGGCAUGUUCCUUCUAUUGGACUCUCAUUUCAACUGAUUUAAAAAUGGAUGUGGAUUGGUGGUCUUCUUCUUUCUGUUUCUACGAGGACCUGACAACAGUGUUGCCAGAAUGUGAUCCAGAUACCAAUCUACAUGACACUUCCAAUCGAAACCAUGAUAUUUUAGAAGAUUCAGAAAUUUGUUUCUUCAGAGGAAAAUGACUUUCUGCAAGUGAAAAAUUGCUCGAUUCUGUAAGAAUGAUAAUUUCCUGGAGGAUUCCUCGAAUGCUGUCAUCAUAGAGGUUGUUGCCCCUUAGCUAUUCAAGUAGAGACUAAAAAACCCACUGUGUUGCAUCGAUGUCGAAAAGAGUAUGGGAAAAAGCUGACAGUGGCAUGUUCCUUCUGUUGGACUUUCAUUUCAACUGAUUUAAGAAUGGAUGUGGAUUGGUGUUCUUGAUGUUUCUGUUUCUACGAAGACCUGACAACAGUGUUUCCAGAAAGUGAUCCAGAUACCAAUCUAUGACACUACCAAUCGAGACCAUGUCAUUUUAGAAGAUUCAGAAAUUUGUUUCUUCAGAGGAAAAUGACUUUCUGCAAGUGAAAAAUUGUUCGAUUCUGUAAGAAUGAUAAUUUCCUGGAGGAUUCCUUGACUGCUGCCAUCAAGGAGAGUGUUGUCCUGGAUUGGUGGUUAUUUUAGACGCCACAACAGUGUUGCCAGAAAGUGAUCCAGAUUCCAAUCUACAUGACACUAUCAAUCGAAACCAUGAUAUUUUAGAAGAUUCAGAAAUUUGUAUCUUGAGAGGAAAAUUACUUUCUGCAAGUGAAAAAUUGCUCGAUUCUGUAAGAAUGAUAAUUUCCUGGAGGAUUCCUUGACUGCUGCCAUCAAGGAGAGUGUUGUCCUGGAUUUGUGGUUAUUUUAGACGCCACAACAGUGUUGCCAGAAAGUGAUCCAGAUUCCAAUCUACAUGACACUAUCAAUCGAAACCAUGAUAUUUUAGAAGAUUCAGAAAUUUGUUUCUUCAGAGGAAAAUGACUUUCUGCAAGUGAAAAAUUGCUCGAUUCUGUAAGAAUGAUAAUUUCCUGGAGGAUUCCUUGACUGCUGCCAUCAAGGAGAGUGUUGUCCUGGAUUGGUGGUUAUUUUAGACGCCACAACAGUGUUGCCAGAAAGUGAUCCAGAUUCCAAUCUACAUGACACUAUCAAUCGAAACCAUGAUAUUUUAGAAGAUUCAGAAAUUUGUAUCUUGAUGGGAAAAUUACUUUCUGCAAGUGAAAAAUUGCUCGAUUCUGUAAGAAUGAUAAUUUCCUGGAGGAUUCCUUGACUGCUGCCAACAAGGAGAGUGUUGUCCUGGAUUGGUGGUUAUUUUAGACGCCACAACAGUGUUGCCAGAAAGUGAUCCAGAUUCCAAUCUACAUGACACUAUCAAUCGAAACCAUGAUAUUUUAGAAGAUUCAGAAAUUUGUAUCUUGAGAGGAAAAUUAAUUUCUGCAAGUGGAAAAUUGCUCGAUUCUGUAAGAAUGAUAAUUUUCCUGGAGGAUUCCUUGACUGCUGUCAUCAUAGAGGUUGUUGCCCCUCAGCUCUUCAAGUAGAGACUGAAAAUCACUGUGCUGCAUCGAUGUCGAAAAGAGUAUUGGAAAAAGCUGACAGUGGCAUGUUCCUUCUGUUUGACUUUCAUUUCAACUGAUUUAAGAAUAGAUGUGGAUUGGUAGUCUUCUUGUUUCUGUUUCUACGAGGACCCCACAACAGUGUUGCCAAAAAGUGAUCCAGAUUCGAUUCUACAUGACACAACCAAUCGAGACGAUGAAAUUUUAGAAGAUUCAGAAAUUUGUUUCUUCAGAGGAAAAUGACUUACUGCAAGUGAAAAUUUUUUCCAUUUUGUGAGAAUGAUAAUUUUCCUCAAGGUUUCCUCGAGUGCUGUCUUCAGAGAGGUUGUUGCCCCUUAGCUCUUCAAAUAGAGACUGAAAAACGCACUAUAUUGCAUCGAUGUCGAAAAGAGUAUGGGAAAAAGCUGACAGUGGCAUGUUCCUUCUGUUGGGCUUUCAUUUCAACUGAUUUAAGAAUGGAUGUGGAUUGGUGUUCUUGAUGUUUCUGUUUCUACGAAGACCUGACAACAGUGUUUCCAGAAAGUGAUCCAGAUACCAAUCUAUGACACUACCAAUCGAGACCAUGUCAUUUUAGAAGAUUCAGAAAUUUGUUUCUUCAGAGGAAAAUGACUUUCUGCAAGUGAAAAAUUGUUCGAUUCUGUAAGAAUGAUAAUUUCCUGGAGGAUUCCUUGACUGCUGCCAUCAAGGAGAGUGUUGUUCUGGAUUGGUGGUUAUUUUAGACGCCACAACAGUGUUGCCAGAAAGUGAUCCAGAUUCCAAUCUACAUGACAUUAUCAAUCGAAACCAUGAUAUUUUAGAAGAUUCAGAAAUUUGUAUCUUGAGAGGAAAAUUACUUUCUGCAAGUGAAAAAUUGCUCGAUUCUGUAAGAAUGAUAAUUUCCUGGAGGAUUCCUUGACUGCUGCCAUCAAGGAGAGUGUUGUCCUGGAUUGGUGGUUAUUUUAGACGCCACAACAGUGUUGCCAGAAAGUGAUCCAGAUUCCAAUCUACAUGACACUAUCAAUCGAAACCAUGAUAUUUUAGAAGAUUCAGAAAUUUGUAUCUUGAGAGGAAAAUUAGUUUCUGCAAGUGGAAAAUUGCUCGAUUCUGUAAGAAUGAUAAUUUUCCUGGAGGAUUUCUUGACUGCUGUCAUCAUAGAGGUUGUUGCCCCUCAGCUCUUCAAGUAGAGACUGAAAAUCACUGUGCUGCAUCGAUGUCGAAAAGAGUAUUGGAAAAAGCUGACAGUGGCAUGUUCCUUCUGUUGGACUUUCAUUUCAACUGAUUUAAGAAUAGAUGUGGAUUGGUAGUCUUCUUGUUUCUGUUUCUACGAAGACCUGACAACAGUGUUUCCAGAAAGUGAUCCAGAUACCAAUCUAUGACACUACCAAUCGAGACCAUGUCAUUUUAGAAGAUUCAGAAAUUUGUUUCUUCAGAGGAAAAUGACUUUCUGCAAGUGAAAAAUUGCUCGAUUCUGUAAGAAUGAUAAUUUCCUGGAGGAUUCCUUGACUGCUGCCAUCAAGGAGAGUGUUGUCCUGGAUUUGUGGUUAUUUUAGACGCCACAACAGUGUUGCCAGAAAGUGAUCCAGAUUCCAAUCUACAUGACACUAUCAAUCGAAACCAUGAUAUUUUAGAAGAUUCAGAAAUUUGUUUCUUCAGAGGAAAAUGACUUUCUGCAAGUGAAAAAUUGCUCGAUUCUGUAAGAAUGAUAAUUUCCUGGAGGAUUCCUUGACUGCUGCCAUCAAGGAGAGUGUUGUCCUGGAUUGGUGGUUAUUUUAGACGCCACAACAGUGUUGCCAGAAAGUGAUCCAGAUUCCAAUCUACAUGACACUAUCAAUCGAAACCAUGAUAUUUUAGAAGAUUCAGAAAUUUGUAUCUUGAGAGGAAAAUUACUUUCUGCAAGUGAAAAAUUGCUCGAUUCUGUAAGAAUGAUAAUUUCCUGGAGGAUUCCUUGACUGCUGCCAUCAAGGAGAGUGUUGUCCUGGAUUUGUGGUUAUUUUAGACGCCACAACAGUGUUGCCAGAAAGUGAUCCAGAUUCCAAUCUACAUGACACUAUCAAUCGAAACCAUGAUAUUUUAGAAGAUUCAGAAAUUUGUAUCUUGAGAGGAAAAUUACUUUCUGCAAGUGAAAAAUUGCUCGAUUCUGUAAGAAUGAUAAUUUCCUGGAGGAUUCCUUGACUGCUGCCAUCAAGGAGAGUGUUGUCCUGGAUUGGUGGUUAUUUUAGACGCCACAACAGUGUUGCCAGAAAGUGAUCCAGAUUCCAAUCUACAUGACACUAUCAAUCGAAACCAUGAUAUUUUAGAAGAUUCAGAAAUUUGUAUCUUGAGAGGAAAAUUACUUUCUGCAAGUGAAAAAUUGCUCGAUUCUGUAAGAAUGAUAAUUUCCUGGAGGAUUCCUUGACUGCUGCCAUCAAGGAGAGUGUUGUCCUGGAUUGGUGGUUAUUUUAGACGCCACAACAGUGUUGCCAGAAAGUGAUCCAGAUUCCAAUCUACAUGACACUAUCAAUCGAAACCAUGAUAUUUUAGAAGAUUCAGAAAUUUGUAUCUUGAGAGGAAAAUUAAUUUCUGCAAGUGGAAAAUUGCUCGAUUCUGUAAGAAUGAUAAUUUUCCUGGAGGAUUCCUUGACUGCUGUCAUCAUAGAGGUUGUUGCCCCUCAGCUCUUCAAGUAGAGACUGAAAAUCACUGUGCUGCAUCGAUGUCGAAAAGAGUAUUGGAAAAAGCUGACUGUAGCAUGUUCUUUCUGUUGGACUUUCAUUUCAACUGAUUUAAGAAUGGAUGUGGAUUGGUGCUCUUCAUGUUUCUGUUGGUAUAAAGGUGUCACCACUAGUCUCGUUUCCAAGUUAGCAUAUCCUUUAUCAGUGGAGCCAGUUGAAAGAUGCCAUUUUCGGAGAGGUCCAUUGUUCAGAGGAAAAAAUCAAAUGAAAGAAGAAAUGAGAAGAGGAUGAUCACAAGAAGAAGACAACAAGAAGAAGAUUACAAGAAGAAGGGUCACAAGAGGAAAGUCACAAGAAGAUGAACUAGUAGAAAACUUUCUGAAGAUGAGAAUUGUUACCAAGGACAGCAUUGUGUACAUUUAUUAUAGUAAGUGGAUUAGAAGUGCAGUAUUUGCUGGCAUUUACAUGCGCGUUAGAAAAAAUUUGUCCCUCUUUAUGAGUCUGGAAGGACGUUUGGAUCUAUUCGAAAGAUUCUUAUGCAAAAAAGGCGCCGAUCUUUGGGAAGUGAGCACGAUAAGAGACGCGUAAAGCAAGGCAGCGCUUACCGUUUUAAGUGACAGAAGUGUGUCUUUCGAAGACGUGGACUGGGUAGGGAUGGAGAUGGUGGGGGGGGGAGGAGUUUUGUUUUUAACUGGGAACAUUUUGAAUGUUUUGAAAUAGGCAUGCCAGCAUUAACUGCAUUUUUAUUCCACCAUAGGGAAUGGUCAUUUAAGCAGCAGUUUCGUUAGGCUAGUUUUCAGUCUCGAAAUUACUCAAGAUGACAAUAACAGGAUGGAACCUCCCCCUUUUUAGCUGCUAAUACAUUAAUCGUCCUUCUAGUUUGCUUUUGAGUUUUGAUAAGAAUAAUCAAGCAUAAUUAAAAGGGCAUAAUCAAGCAUAAAUUAAAUCCUUGCAAAACAGCAGUUUGUCCCCUCAUUUUAGUUGAAAUUUACGGUGAUUUUCUAAAGUCCUUUUCAUGAUGCAGUUAUUUCACCACUCUCUCCAGUUAGUCAAAUGAGACAUUUUUGCAAGUUUUUCAAGGAAUGAUAUCCUGGCUCCUUUCAGUAGACCUUUGUUAUAAGUCGUAAGGAACACAAAAUAUCAUGAGUUAUUUUGCAAAUAGACUUUAUAAGGUAAGGAUUUUAAGUAAGGAUAAUCUGCUUGAAUGACCAAUUCAGGACUUCCUACAAUCACCUGAGUUAUAAUUUAACCAGGGAAGGGACCUUGACUAGGUUAUAAUCCAAAACACGUAACGUCAGAUGGCAGUUGCAUGGUUUCAAACAAGGGAUAUGGCUUGCUUAAAGGACAGUAGUAUUCUUCUCGCCGUUGGACAGUGGAGGAGAACAAGCAAAAAGGAUGGAAGAAAAGAAAAUACUCUUCAUGUGAAAUCCACAUAACGAAUGGAUGAGAACUUUGAGGCAUGCCUUGGCAAGAAGGAACACUACAGGCUACAUAACGAAUGGAGACCACGGUUGAAGCCAUGGCUUCAGAAAUACGAGAUUUUUCAAGCAACCCGGAGUAAGGUGGUGAACUGCAAAGCACAGAUGGUCUAAGGAGCAAAGAAGAUCAUUUUAUCAUUUCUACUCUUUUUAUCUUGUUCUUCCCUAUGAAAUGUUUCAUUUCUUCUCUAUUCACCUUGUUCUUCCUAACAUUGUUUUAUAGUCCUUUUUAUUUAUUUCUCACUUUUAUUUUAUAGCUCCUGAAUAUUUAAUAAAAUAUUUAAUUUUUACCCCCCCCCAAAUAUUUAAUAAAAAUGAGUAUUUUCUCUCCACCCAAAAGGUACUUAUUCGUUCCAUCAAACUCACUUUCACGAAAUUUUCCCGCACACAUGAAAACGAAAAACGUCGAGUUUCUGACUUCAAGUCGUAAGUAGGAAUAGAUCUACAUUUUCGAAUGUUUAAAGUUUGGCAGACAUUUUAGCGACUGCUGAAUAUCUCGAUGUCUUCCUUUUGUCUGAAAACAUUUACCAUCAGAUGUUUAAGCGCUGUUGAAAAUCCCCCUUAUUCGACUUUCAUUGAAGCCUUUGAUUUUUGCCUAAGGAUAUUUCUUUUCUUCGUAACUUGCCUGAUUUUUCUUAUAAGCUCGUUUCUUCCCUGUUACCUCUGUGACUCUCAUUAAAGUACCAAACAACAGACCCAAAGAUGCAAGCAGGAAGAAAUACCACCAAAGAUGAAGCUCGCGUGGUUUGGAUUUACAAGAGCAUGGUGCUGUGCCUGUGCGUCACUUUGUUCGCCAUCUCCCGCGUUUGAUAGCAAGGAUUUAAUAAUAGAACAAUCUUGGGGUUUAAAUAAACUAAAGACUCAGGUGGUUAGAGGAUGUACUGCUUGUAAAAUUGGAAACUGCGUGUAAAUUGUAGUUGUGUAUAAAUAGUAAUUAUAAUGCUGGUGCAAAAUUCAUAUGAUAAGGCUUUUCACGGGUGCCCUUAACCUCAAAUUUUACUGAGUUGGGAUAAAACUAAGUUGGGGGAUGGUUGUCACUUUACGCACUGGUCUUUCCCCCUAAAAAUAGUUUUUAGUUUUCACGCUACCAGCAUAUCCCUUUCAAAAGCCUAAUCGGGUCAUUUUCUUAAAGAAACUUUGGUCAUUCAAAUACUUUGGUGUAAUUUGGGUGUCUUUUGGCCAUGUCUCCAACAACCUACCCGAAGAGCCCCCUCUGUAAACCAAAAUUCUGAAACUCUUUGAUCUGUUUGUCGUGCCUGGGCAAGGAAACCUCUGCUUAUUUAGAAAGGUUUGGCUUACAAAAACAAACCUUCCAGAAUUUUCGUCUAUUUUUCCAAGGACAAUGAAAACUUCAGAAAUUACAGUUCCCUUUUGAUUUCUUUGAUGGUUUUGAAAUUCGGUCUCUUCCCACGUCUUGAUUCUACAAUUCGUUCAGUAUAUUCCAAUUUUUAGCUUCUUAGAGCUUCUAGACGAAGCACAUGCUCUAUCAUAUGGUUUUGCACCUGCAUCGUGUCUGCACAUUUUCUUAACGACUUCUUGUAUUAGGGAUUGGGAACAAGGAAUGUUUGUGCGGACACACCCCCACCCCGCCCCGCCAUGCUGGGCCUCUUCCCACGGAGUGCUUCGACGUCCUGCCUGCGCUGCAAGAUUCUGAUGGGCUCCAGCUGGUAGUUCUCCGCUUCAUCCUGUCUUUCCAUCUCUGCAAGUUUGCCCUUCAUCUCAAAGGUAAGAGGAUUUAUUCUCUCUUCCAUUAUUUCUUUAAUUGCUUGUCAUCUUUGCUUGUAUAUUGUACACAUUUAACCAGUAUCCAAAUUCAUCAUUGGGACGAAGGAUAGGUAGCAUAAGGUUUCUUCAAACAUAGGGUGGGUUCAAUGUUUUUGGUCACUUUCUCAAUGAUAGGUAACUUUAACGGCGAGUGAAUCAUAUUGCAUUAGAGUAUUCUCUUUGCUGCAACGAUGUCUUGGUGAAUGGGAGUGCCGCAAUGGGAACGAAAGGCUGCGAUCUAGCAACUAAAAGUGUUGAUCGGGGUUGUGUUGUAAGGAUAGCAAUUUCUGAUCUGUCCUGGCUCUCUAGUCGGGUGCGAGGGUUUUUGGUAUAAGUAAUUAUUUUUAUUGUUAUUUGAUUUACCCUAUCGGUCAAGGGUACGGCGAAACGUCCUGUUGAAUAGGUAACCUUGCAGUUCUUCAUGUUAUGUGCGCCUGUUAUCAUUUACUAGAUUAAGGAUUUUUUUUAUUUUGUAAGGUUAACUAAUAACUAAUUUUACCAGCAGUAAUGACCCUUUAAACGGUCCUAAUCUUAUGCAUUAUUUCUAUAAAAUCUUCUUAUAAAAACCAACAAGCUAGUAAAAAUAAUGUUAUCAUACUGCAAUAAUUUUUAUAAUUAUGCUUUCUAAGUUUCUAUAACGUUAAGCUAACAAGACGGUAGUUUUUUAGCUAGCCUGCUUCUAACGUUUACAAGAAAAUAUUGCAAUGUGCUUAACAGAAAUCAGGUCAGGUUUUGU
Molecule: non-coding RNA, 14390 nt
Organism: Rhopilema esculentum
Lineage: Eukaryota; Metazoa; Cnidaria; Scyphozoa; Rhizostomeae; Rhizostomatidae
Source: RefSeq, a predicted model, not a curated record